GAAACGGAAACUAAAACCGGAUAGGUAAUAGAGAAGCAUUUCUGUAUUAUUAAAGAAGCCUCAAAGCUUUGAACAUGGAUGGACCUGCGGUGCAUUAGCUAGUUGGUAAGGUAACGGCCUACCAAGGCGACGAUGCAUAGCCGACCUGAGAGGGCGAACGGCCACAUUGGGACUGAGACACGGCCCAAACUCCUACGGGAGGCAGCAGUAGGGAAUUUUCGUCAAUGGGGGGAACCCUGAACGAGCAAUGCCGCGUGAGUGAAGACGGUCUUCGGAUUGUAAAGCUCUGUUGUGAGAGAAAAAGGAUAUAUAUAGGAAAUGAUAUGUAUUUGAUGGUAUCUCACCAGAAAGUCACGGCUAACUACGUGCCAGCAGCCGCGGUAAUACGUAGGUGGCGAGCGUUAUCCGGAAUGAUUGGGCGUAAAGGGUACGUAGGCGGCAUGAUAAGUCUGGAGUGAAAGGCUACAGCUCAACUGUAGUAUGCUCUGGAAACUGUCAAGCUAGAGUGCAGAAGAGGGCAAUGGAACUCCAUGUGUAGCGGUAAAAUGCGUAGAUAUAUGGAAGAACACCGGUGGCGAAGGCGGUUGCCUGGUCUGAAACUGACGCUGAAGUACGAAAGCGUGGGGAGCAAAUAGGAUUAGAUACCCUAGUAGUCCACGCCGUAAACGAUGAGAACUAGGUGUUGGGGGAAUAACUCAGUGCC
This 703-nucleotide ribosomal RNA is filed under the name uncultured bacterium. Its description in RNAcentral is "bacterial SSU rRNA". It matches the Rfam family "Bacterial small subunit ribosomal RNA", at positions 153 to 847 of the family's 1533-position model. The record is from RNAcentral.